UUUCCCCGAAAAUAAGACAUCCCCAUAAAAUAAGACCUAGUACAGGUUUGGGGGAAUUGCCAAAUAUAAGACCUCCCCCGAAAAUAAGACCUAGGAGGGAGCCGCAGCCGCUGCCGCUGGGGCUCCUUUCUCCUUCCUCGGCUGGUGCUGUGUGAAAGCGUCGCUCAUGCUUUCCCCUCUCCCUUCCCUUGCUUCCCUCUUUGGUCAGCACUCGCUCAAGAGGGGGAAGGAAAAAGCGAGAGAAGCAGUUUUUCCUUAAGCUUCCUGUCCGGUGUUGUGUGAAUGUGAAAGAGACGAGGCUGCUUGAGAUUGUCCCUUCCCCCUUUGGCCGGCACUCGCUCAAGAGAGGGAAGGAAAAAGCGAGAGAAGCAGCUUCUCCUUAAGCUGUGUGCAUGAGAUCCUUUUCUCCUGCCUUUCUCUUUCCCUUUCGCCAGGCAUGCACUCUUCCUGCCUUCUCAUUUUCCCACCUCCUCACCUUCCACGUGGCUGCCUUUCCUGCCUCCUUCCUCACUGGAUGUGUGCCAGAUAGUGUUUGAGAACCAGGUCUGAAAUCAGAGAUUGAAGGCCUAACAGGACUGAAAUGUUCCGCAACUGACUUAAUAAUAGCAAUCAUUGAACAAAAAAAGCUACAAACCAGUUGUUCCAUUCAACCAGCUCAGGAAUACUGAACAUUUACCUCUCUGUGAUCUAUUUUGGAAAAGUCCAUUCCAUUUACUUCAACGAUCUGGUCACCAACCUAAAACAAGGCAAGCAAACAAAGCAUUUGAAAUGGUAAUAUAUGUCUUAGGUGGGCUACAGUUCCCAGUUUUGAAAUACUUCAUGAAAUUAGACCACUUUAGAACAAUUUAUUUGCAAGAAAGGCAGUAUUUAUGGUAUAGAAUAUCCUUAAACUUUGGUGAGGCAUUCUUGAUUUCAAUUCAUCUAUCAUUAGAUGAUAGGCAUUAAAAGACAUUUCAAAAUAAAAACUGUAAUGUUUACAUAUAUUUUAU
Anolis carolinensis (green anole) is the source of this 989-nucleotide long non-coding RNA. RefSeq lists it as uncharacterized. The record is from RefSeq and is a predicted model, not a curated record. The transcript has 3 exons. NCBI's taxonomy places the organism in Eukaryota, Metazoa, Chordata, Lepidosauria, Squamata, Anolidae.